UCUCGGUUUUAUUAUGAUUCGGUUGUUUGUGGUUCGUCGGAGGAGAGGGAAGUUCUCCGGCGGAAAGAGUGGCGAUGCAUGCGACGCUUCUUCUUGGGGGUCUGCGGCGAACGGUGUUGGAUGAGAUCUCGCCUCGGCGAUUGAUUCUCUCCGGUUUUUAGAGACCCAAAGAUGGUUGAGGAGAAGAUUGACGGAGCUUUUGAGUUCCGGGGUGGUCGGCAGAUCAGAUGUUUCGAUCUCCGGCGAAAACGAGAAGCGGUGGUGACACGAUGUCCUCGCAACACGUGUACC
Molecule: long non-coding RNA, 291 nt
Filed under: Brassica napus (rape)
Lineage: Eukaryota; Viridiplantae; Streptophyta; Magnoliopsida; Brassicales; Brassicaceae
Description: long non-coding RNA (BNAP_LNC003828)
Source: RNAcentral